UUGAAGAGAGAGUUAAAGAGGACGUGAAACCGGUAAGGUGGAAACGGAUAGAGUCGGCGUAUCAUUCAAUUAUUCAGUUACAUUAUUUUUAUGUUGUGACCUCUGAGCUCCAGAUUGGGACAGAGGGAAUCAGCAUAAUUUUUUGUGGUGCAUUUACUUGAUUGGUGCUUGGGGAUGUUUGAGGCAGAUUUGUUUCCGUCGUUUUGAGGCCAGCUUGCUGGUACCCAAACGGUGUUAGCAUUUUUUGUCUUGGGCAUUUGAGUAUGGCUCACGUGUAUUUAUUGGACAGAUCUGAGUGUAAGUUACGGUCGCAUGCGACACGUGCUUUUCAAUUAGUUCGGUCCAGUUAAUGCUCUCGUACUCGUUCCCCAUGUAAAAGCCGGUCAUCUAUCCGACCCGUCUUGAAACACGGACCAAGGAGUUUAUCGUGUGCGCAAGUUUUUGGGUGUUAAAAACUUAAAAGCGAAAUGAAAGUAAAUGACUCUUUAGAGUCUGAUGUGCGAUCUUGUAAAAAAGUGUAGCAUGGCCCCAUUCUAACUGUUUACAGUAGGGUGGCGGAAGAGCGUACGCGGUGAGACCCGAAAGAUGGUGAACUAUUCCUGAGCAGGACGAAGCCAGAGGAAACUCUGGUGGAAGUCCGAAGCGGUUCUGACGUGCAAAUCGAUCGUCUG
This 671-nucleotide ribosomal RNA is filed under the name Meloidogyne incognita (southern root-knot nematode). RNAcentral's name for it is "eukaryotic LSU rRNA". It matches the Rfam family "Eukaryotic large subunit ribosomal RNA", at positions 376 to 908 of the family's 3401-position model. Lineage: Eukaryota; Metazoa; Nematoda; Chromadorea; Rhabditida; Meloidogynidae. The record is from RNAcentral.